UUUCGCAAUGCCCGAAAGGGUGACGAAGCGACGCCGCGUGAGCGAAGAAGGCCUUAGGGUUGUAAAGCUCUGUCAAGGGUUAUGAAAUAUAGAUGAGUUAAUACCUCGUUUAUUUGACAAAGGCCCAAAAGGAAGUCACGGCUAACUCUGUGCCAGCAGCCGCGGUAAUACAGAGGUGGCAAGCGUUGUUCGGUAUUAUUGGGCGUAAAGAGCACGUAGGUGGUUUUGUAAGUCAGGUGUGAAAGCCUUCUGUUCAAAGGAAGAACGGCAUCUGAAACUGCAGAUCUUGAGUGUAGGAGGGGAGAGUGGAACUUCUGGUGGAGCGGUGAAAUGCGUAGAUAUCAGAAGGAACGUCGGCGGCGAAAGCGACUCUCUGGCCUAUUACUGACACUGAGGUGCGAAAGUUAGGGGAGCAAACGGGAUUAGAUACCCCGGUAGUCCUAACCGUAAACGAUGGGCACUAAGUAGAGGGGUUUUA
Molecule: ribosomal RNA, 478 nt
Filed under: uncultured anaerobic ammonium-oxidizing bacterium
Lineage: Bacteria
Description: bacterial SSU rRNA
Rfam family: Bacterial small subunit ribosomal RNA
Source: RNAcentral